Long non-coding RNA from Chelonia mydas (Green sea turtle), 258 nucleotides. RefSeq lists it as uncharacterized. NCBI's taxonomy places the organism in Eukaryota, Metazoa, Chordata, Testudines, Cheloniidae. The record is from RefSeq and is a predicted model, not a curated record. The transcript has 3 exons.
CAGGAUGCUGAGGCCUCCAGCAGGAGGUCUCUGGGCGUAGUCCACUCCCUCACAGGAUUUGGAUGGUAGUUCUAUAGAAGGUGCCCAAUUUAAAACCCUGGGAUCUGGUCUGCAGAAGUGCUGAGUGCUCACAACAGCAACAGAUGUCAACAGGAGCUGUGAUUUGAAUAUAUAAGGCAUCUGGACAGGCUAGCUCAGAGGAAAGGAACCUAGACCUAUUGGAAGUGUAGGAGGGUGCUUGGUGAUACAGCAUUUGGA